AUGAACGCUGGCGGCGUGCUUUAGGCAUGCAAGUCGAACGCCCCAUUAGAUGACCGCAAGGCUAUCUAACGGGGAGUGGCGGACGGGUGAGUAACGCGUAGGAAUCUACCUCUGGGUGGACCAUAGCUCAUCGAAAGAUGGGGUAAUAGUCCAUAGUGUCCGAUGUAACAUUCGGACUAAAGCAUUAACUUUGCGCCGAGAGAUGAGCCUGCGUCCUAUCAGCUAGUUGGUGGGGUAAAAGCCUACCAAGGCAAUGACGGGUAGCUGGACUGAGAGGUCGAUCGGCCACAACUGCACUGAGACACGGGCAGUACACCUACGGGUGGCAGCAACUAGGAAUAUUGCGCAAUGGGGGAAACCCUGACGCAGCGACGCCGCGUGGAGGAAGAAGGCCUUAGGGUUGUAAACUCCUUUUGCCAAGCCCAUCACAGCUUGGCGAAUAAGCCUCUACUAACUACGUGCCAGAAGUCUCGGUAAUACGUAGGAGGCAAGCGUUAUCCGGAUUUAUUGGGCGUAAAGUGUGCGUAGGCGCCCCGAUGAGUCGCACUUAAAAUACUAAGGCUCAACCUUAGGGCUAGGUGCGAUACUAUCGGGGUUGAGGAUUGGCAGGGAUGCUGGAACAGUAAGUGUAGCAGUGAAAUGCGUUGAUAUUUACUGGAACACCAAAGGCGAAGGCAGGCAUCUGGGCUUUUCCUGACGCUGAGGCACGAAAGCUAGGUUAGCGAAACAGAUUAGAGACCUGUGUAGUCCUAGCCGUAAACGAUGUCCGCUAACUCUCUCUAGUUUACUGGAGGGGGUGUAAGCUAACGCGUUAAGCGGACCGCCUGGGGAGUACGGCCGCAAGGCUAAAACUCAAAGGAAUUGACGGGGACCCGCACAACCGGUGGAGCGUGUGGUUCAAUUCGAGACGAAACGAAGAACCUCACCAGGGUUUGACAUGUUACCGUUUAUUCUGAAGGAAACUUCGGGAAAUCCGUAAGGAUGGUAACACAGGUGCUGCAUGGCUGUCGUCAGCUCGUGCCGUGAGGUGUUCCCUUAAGUGGGGAAACGAGCGCAACCCCCGCCAAAUGUUAAAUUAUUCAUUUGGGACGGUCCCGACUUUACGUCGGGAAGGAAGGAGGGGAAGACGUCAAGUCAGCACGGCCCUUAUACCCUGGGCUACACACACACUACAAUGGCGAAAAACAAUGGGUUGCAAGCGCGCAAGUGCAAGCUAAUCCCUUAAAUUUCGCCCCAGUUCAGAUUGGGGUCUGAAACCCGACCCCAUGAAGUCGGAAUCGGUAGUAAUCGCGGAUCAGCAAGCCGCGGUGAAUACGUUCUCGGGUCUUGUACACACCGC
This 1339-nucleotide ribosomal RNA is filed under the name uncultured bacterium. RNAcentral's name for it is "bacterial SSU rRNA". It matches the Rfam family "Bacterial small subunit ribosomal RNA", at positions 29 to 1393 of the family's 1533-position model. The record is from RNAcentral.